GACGAACGCUGGCGGCGUGCUUAACACAUGCAAGUCGAACGCUGAAGCUUGGUGCUUGCACUGGGUGGAUGAGUGGCGAACGGGUGAGUAAUACGUGAGUAACCUGCCCUUGACUCUGGGAUAGGCCUGGGAAACUGGGUCUAAUACUGGAUACGACAUGCCACUGCAUGGUGGUGUGUGGAAAGGGUUUUACUGGUUUUGGAUGGGCUCACGGCCUAUCAGCUUGUUGGUGGGGUAAUGGCCUACCAAGGCGACGACGGGUAGCCGGCCUGGGAGGGUGACCGGCCACACUGGACUGAGACACGGCCCAGACUCCUACGGGAGGCAGCAGUGGGGAAUAUUGCACAAUGGGCGGAAGCCUGAUGCAGCGACGCCGCGUGAGGGAUGACGGCCUUCGGGUUGUAAACCUCUUUCAGCACGGAAGAAGCGAGAGUGACGGUACGUGCAGAAGAAGCGCCGGCUAACUACGUG
This 471-nucleotide ribosomal RNA is filed under the name uncultured bacterium. RNAcentral describes it as "partial 16S ribosomal RNA". It matches the Rfam family "Bacterial small subunit ribosomal RNA", at positions 28 to 507 of the family's 1533-position model. The record is from RNAcentral.